Molecule: RNA transcript, 5765 nt
Organism: Drosophila nasuta
Lineage: Eukaryota; Metazoa; Arthropoda; Insecta; Diptera; Drosophilidae
Gene name: class E basic helix-loop-helix protein 22
Exons: 7
Source: RefSeq, a predicted model, not a curated record
CAUGUAAAUGACAACAUCAGAAUGAUCAGAAUGCAACUAAAACUACUAACCCAACUACUAGCAGCAGACAGGCGCCUAACAACAACAACAACAACAACAACAACAACUAGCAACUAGACGGACCAGGCGGCGGCUACCAGGCAACCAGGCAACCAGGCAACCGCAUCUGAUCAGUUGCCCAGUCGGCCAGUCAGCCAGUUAGCCAGUCUAUUAAUCUAACCACCAGCAACAGCAGUAGAUCAUCUAAAAGUUAAAGAGAGAAGAGUGCGCCAUGGCCGGACCUCAAGUGCAGCACACGCAGCGACCCAACAGCGCCUACUACACAGGCCUCAAUGGCAGCGGUGGCUCCAACGGAGCCUCAGGUGGAGGUGGAGGAGCUGCAGCUGGAGCUGGUGGGAUGGCGAGCAGCGCCUCGCAUACGGGACUGGGACUGCAUGCACUGCGUCAGGUGUCCAAUGAGACGGAGCUCAUCUAUCGCGGCAGCCACACCAAUGGCACCGUCAACGAGCUCACCGGGGGACGGCAGCUGACGGGCAGCAACAGUCGGAUCAUUCAACAGCAGCCGGCGCACAGUUCGCGGGACAAUAUUGUGAGCAGCAUUGCGGGCACUGGGAGCUGUGCCACCGAUGCACUCAUCGGUACCAUUUCCACAAGUGCUGGAGCUGGUGGUGGAUCUGGAGGAGCUGGACCUACUUCGGCAGCUGGAGCUGGCAGCAGCAAUGCGUCGGCAUUAAAGAAAUCGAAUACGCAGCGAAGUAUUGAGAUCAUUGUGGAUGCGUCGCAGUGUGGCAAGGAUGCUGUCGCCGAUCUCGAUGAUGUGGAGCAGGGCGAGGGCGGUGGCCAGGAGUCGUCGUCGUCGGUUCGCAAGUCGUCGCGUCAUCGCCAUCGGCCGCUGCAUCGACGUCUCAUCAGCUAUCUGCGUAAUUUGUUCCAGGGCAGCGCCGCACAGAAUGCUUUGACUGAACUCCUCUUGGCCUUGGGCUGCAUCUCGAAGCAUUCGGAACUGGAAGAAUUCGAGACGCCAGCUCGCUACAGACCAGACUCACUGAGCGCCCUGAGUCGUGCCACCCGCUUCACAGAGGAUGAAAUCAAACGAAUUUAUCGCGGUUUUAAGGCUGAGUGCCCCACGGGCGUUGUCAAGGAGGAUACCUUCAAAGUGAUCUAUUCGCAGUUCUUUCCUCAGGGAGGUUCGUGCGCAAAUCCAACAUUAUAUGCACAUUAUGUAUUCAAUACACUGGAUCAGGAUCACAGCGGCAUUGUCAGCUUUGAGGACUUUGUUCAAGGACUCUCGAUACUGUCGCGCGGAUCCGUCGAGGAGAAACUGCGCUGGACCUUCUCGUUGUACGACAUCAAUGGCGACGGCUUCAUUACGAGGGAAGAAAUGACUGACAUUGUGACUGCUAUAUACGAGCUGAUGGGCCGCCUGCCCGACGAGUGUCCCGAGGAGGAGAAGAUCAAAGGCAAAGUGGAGCAAAUCUUUCAGAAAAUGGACAUUAAUCGCGAUGGCGUCGUGACGUUGGAGGAGUUCUUGGAGGCGUGCCGCAACGAUGAUGCCAUAUCCAGGUCGAUGUCUGUCUUCGACACAGCAUUCUGACCAUAUCCGACUGACAAGGGUGAUGAGUACACGGUGCGGCGACGACGACGCAGUCGCAGCCAGCAGCAGCAAGAACAGCAACAGAAACAGCACAAACAUCAUCAGCAGCAAAUGGAGCCGGAGAAACAAAUAUGCAUAGCAACAAAAUAAAUUAUGAACGACGAAGUGAGAGGCGAAUAUGUGAAAUUGAAACCGAGCGCGAAUUGUCAAGCUAAAACAACUGCGAAAUGGCCAUAAAUAUAUGCAAUUAUCGACAAGAGUGUGAAUGUGUUUAUGUUUGACACUUGUGAGCAGCACACUACGAUCAUAGACAGCACUGACAAACAGCUAUGGAAUAAGUUACCGAGUUCACACAAAAUGUUAUUAAUAUAUAUUUCAUUUAAAAAUAAAUAAUUUACAAAUUGAAGCUAACAAAUUUCGUUAGUUUAAGCAAUAGUCGACGUUUUCAAAAAUAAUAUAUCAUCUAAACUAAAAUUUGCAUCGUUUUCGAUAAUGAAAAAGUUGUCGAGAUUCAACAGAAACUACUUUUAUGGUUGAAAUGAAAAGUGAUUAAAAAAAUUAUGAAAGCAAUGCAAUAUUGUAUAUCUUAGUACAGUGUUUAAUAUCUUUCUGAAAAGUUGCUUUAUUUUCGAUAAAUCUAGAGACAGAGAAAAAGUUAUCGCAACUCAACUGAAACUACUUUUGAGGUUAGAAUGAAAAGUGAUGCAAAAGUGAUGAGAAAAAAAUGCUGUGCAAGAAAUAUGUGCUAUGUCUGUAGAGUAGAUAAUGCGUGACUAGAACAAAGUGCUGACAUUCACACAAACACACACACUUCGAAAGAGAGAGUCAAAGACAUUGGCUGCAUAAUUUAUGAAGAGCAAAACUGUUGCUGCAUUUAUUGGCCACUCACGUUGUGGAGACAACCAGCGAUAAAGUUCUCGAUAUGCAAUUAUCGUCAAUUUGCCGAAAAUGCAAUUUGCAUUGCCAUUGCCCAGAUUCCCCAGAUUGACAAACGUGCUCGGGGGCUCAUGUUCGCAUUCGUGUUCGUGUUCGUGUUCGUGUUCGGUAUUCGAAUACACUCGAAUACACUCGUACACAUGUGUAAGUAUAGUAUGUAAUGUGUGUGUGCGCGAUUUUAAUUGAUUGUAUUGCUCGAUGGGGCGUGCCCACAAAAGUAUGCAACAGCAUUUUCCCAAUGACUGCAUGCGUAACGAAAGCUUUAUUCCAAAUAUAAAUAAAUAUAUAGAAAGAACUACCGACUAGAGAACGUAUGUUAAAUAAAAAAUAAAUAAAUUGAUUAAACGUAAUAAUAGUAAAUUGUAAAAAACAAAAAUAUUAGAGAAAUGCUAUAUUUAUACGAAAUGCAAAACCAUACGAAAAACUUAAUAAGAAAAGUAAAAGUAAAAGCAAAAGCAAGACGAAUGUCGAGUGUCAUUUCUCUCUUUCAAGUUAUUUUGCCAACAGCUGUUAAAGUUCCGGAACUGCCAACAACAAAUUUACAUAGAAUUAUGAUAAACAACAACUGAACAACAAAUUGAAAUCAAUGUGCUGAUGGUAAACAUAUCAGAAUUUACCAUUUCGACAAAAGUUCGUGACAGUUACAGUUACAGAAUUAAACUUAUAAACGAAGAAAUUGCAAGUUCAAUAAAUGAAAAUGAAAAGAGAAUGCAAAAUAGUUAAUACUGUUGCCCAAGUUUUUUGGGUUGAUUGUGCUUUUAAAGUCACUUCUUCAAUCUGAUCGAAAAAUCUAUACCGAGACCUUAAUGUAAUUGAGGGAUCUAAUGAGAGCAGCUAAUACCAACAAAAAUGAAUCGAAUAACGAUGACAACGUAUUCAUAUUUUGUUGUUGUUAUUAUUUUUUGCAUUGAUGCUAUGCAAAGUUUCAAUCCGUAAUCUCAAUAGAAUAAAAAUCACAUACAUAUUAAGAGAAAGAGAUUAACUGGACGAAAAUCUAUACUUCAUAUACAUAUACAUACAUAGCGUAUACCUAACUUAUGUAAUUGUGUGUGCGUGUGUGUGUGUGUUUAACAAUAAAGAACAAAUCAAAUGGAAGCGCAAUGCUUGAAUCUAAAAUUGGACCACAAAAGCCAUACAAAAAAAAAAAACGAAAAACACAAACUAAAACAAAGCAAAAAUCUUAAAUGUAGUAGUUUUCAUGAAUAACAAAGAAUAUAUUCAUAUUGUAUGUAUAAAAAAAAAAACUCAAAUACGAUAUUUAUCAAAAAAUAUUGGUGUAUUGUAUUUUUAUAGAUAGACCUAAGAUACACACAACACACAACACAACACAACUACGAGUAUUAGGCAAAAUUCUAUUGUUCGCCACAAUCGAAGUCAACAAUAGCUAAAAAAAAAGCCCAGAUUGAUAAUUGAUGUAAAUAGUUAGUCGUUUAUUUUUGAUGGUCAAAGUACAGAACACAACACACAGAAAACUAUAUGAAACGAAAACGAAUCAAAUCACUAAGAGAUAAAUAUAUAUCCGAACUCAAUUAAACGGAAUUGGAAACAUUUGAUUCAUGUGCCCCAUCACACACUAUUUUUUUUUUGGAUAUUAUCCGUUCAAUCUACCAUGAAUAUGUGUAUCUAUAUAUAUAUACAUAUAUAUAUUAUUAGCUGUAGUCUUCCAAUAACACAAAUCUCAACAGAACUCCAAUCUGCCUUGGCCUGCGAGAAUGAGAAUGAGACAAAGAACAAGAACUAGAAAACGAAAACGAAAAAGAACCAAGAGCGAGUGCAAAGAAACUAUAACUAAUCCACUUAGACAACCUGUAGCAAUUUGGUACCUUAGCUGAAACACCUAAAAAAGCUUUCAAUUUUACAACUAAACACACACAAAUACAAUGUCUGCACCAAGUGCGGUAGUUAAAACCAAAAAACAAAAUACAUACACACAAACCAACAUUUCAGCAACAACAACAAGAAGAACCUAAAGACAUUUCAAUUUCUCGAUUUGUCGCACUAGAAAACUGUGUCCAAUUUAAAAGUCAAACAAAAAACUAAAGAAAACCCCAAUUAAACAAUAAAUGUUAUCUUAAUCAAAGCAUAAAUUAAAGCGAAAAAAAACCAAUAUGAAAUUCAAGUUAAAAGUUAAAAUUAAAAUGAAAUUGGAGAAGAAAAAAAAACACGAUUAACAAUAGUUACAGAAUAUUGCAUUAUUUUUAGAUAAAUGUUGACACUGAGUACGAAUACGGAUAAUUAUGAGAAUUUAAACCCUUAAGCAACACUAACUACUAAAUCUUUAACUAUAUCUAUCGUAUAUAUUUAACAACUUAGCCUCGACAAUUUAAAACUCUAACUUCAUUCAUUAUUACUAACUAACUAGAUAAAUCUAUACUAAACUAACUUUGCUCCUUCGAAAUAUAUUGGUUUCUUGUUAUUUAACUAACUAAAAAAAACGAAAUGAGAUAAUACAAUAACAAUGUGAAACUAUUAUAGAGUAUACAACAGAUACUUUACCCUAUACAAAUGAAAACAAAACCGAAGAAAAGCACGACAAUAUGCCAACUGUUCAAAAUAAAAGAAAGAAAGACCCACUCAAUGCCAAGCAAAUCAAAUAAAAAUCAAAUCAAAUCGAAUCAAAACCGAUAUUCACCCACAUUGAACACACUUUGACCCACCCAAAGAAAAAAUAAAAACUGCGUUCUCAAAUAAUCAAAACAAAAAAAAACAAAACGAAAAACACUAGAAAUCUUUAAUCUUUACAAAGGGUAUUCAAUUAGCUUGAUUGCGGUCUGAGGCAGUUGGAAUGUGAAGAGUUUUGACUAAGCAGCACGUUUUUUACUGCUGCUAUUCCUUCAAUCCAAUCACUGUGGGAUUGUGUACAUACAUCCAUAACAUCAUCUUUUCAGCAAAUGGAUAAACCGAACAAUAAACCGAACAUUAAGAAAUUUUUUCCAAAAUCUGCUGUGUUUCAAAGAGAUUGAAGAUUUGCUGCAGCUUGGAGUACUGUAAUUACUUCGCAUAAGGAAUCGUAGUCUAGUAAUUAGAAAAGUGUCAAAAUUUGCAAAACGGAAUAAAUAAGUAUUACGAGUCAAAUUUCCGUUCAAAAAAUUUCUGGGCCUAAGCCUAAAUCAAAAGAAUCCAAUAAAAACGAAAGAGUGUUAUACAUAAUUGUAUAUAGUUUAUACUUGUUCACGUUGGUUUUUUUUUUAAACUAAAUUUUAUAAAACUGUUAAAAUCAAAUUUUACCAAAAAA